CUUAUGACGGGCAAUUAUUAAGAAGUGUAGAGUUUAACGUCAGAUGCUUUUUACUUGGCGGUCUUUCGACGCUACCUAUUAGACCAUUCCGUUUGUCAUACUAGAUAGGAUAUUCUAGUAUGCCAGGGAUAGUCAGUCCUAAGUUUUCUGUAACAUUAUUUAGAUCUAUUCAUUAUGCUAAGAGAUAGAUAGCAUCCAGCAAUUUGAACUUUACAGAUACCUGACGAGCUCUGACUAACUUAUAUAAGAAGACCGAUUUCUGUUUAUUCAGGUCUGGCUACACUCUGCUAUUGCCCGUCUCAUUAUAUUAAGACUACUUUUUAUCUAACUAUAGUGUGGGGGAUUUACUGAGUGUUAUAAUUGGGGCUUUAUGACAACUGUUACGGCUAGUAUUUCGACCAUAUUAUUGGUUUGAGCAACGCUGCCGCUUAUUAUUUGUUCCCAAAUACUCUGAUAUAAUCUCCAUACUACCCUGAUGAUCUCUAGUUCCCCUAACCUAGUGAUACCAUAUUAGGACUCCGUAUUUACCCGCUCUUAUUUGCACAUACUUGGGCAAUAUUGCUAUAUUAUUGAGCGUGGGGUACAGUUUUUUGGAGCCAUCUAUCACAGUGGUUACUUUUUCUCCCCUAGAUUCACACCUAAACAAUAUCAGCUAUUGAUACACUGUUGCAAAAGAGUUACCAGCAGCAGUUUAUAAAAUACUGUAACUAUUCAUGAAGUAUCUAGUCGAUAUGGUGUGAUGCUUGCAUAGCUAGCAGAAUUAUCAGUAGGUUUUUAUUUCCUUUAACGUAUUUUUAAUUUGCACCUUACUGUACAUACACCUUUUUUUCACUAUGAGUUGUCUAACCCUUAAGAGGGAACAAUAAAGAUUUAUUAUUUUGUAUAGGUUCGUUUUUAUGCUCUAGGACUGGCAAUUUGUCACCACAUACUAGUAGAGCAGUUUUUCAAUAGGGUAUAGGGACUGAGAUUUGGGAACACUCUUCGAGUUACCACAUUUCAGUCUCUUCUUGUAUUUUUACUUUUGGGUUAUGCCCUAAUACCCCUCAACUUACUCAACUCUAGUGCAGGGUUCUUUCUCCCUUCACUAUUGGUUGUGCUUUCUCUUAGAGAGUUAACUUGGUUAAUACCCAAACUGCCGUACCUGUUCAAAUCUCAUUUUUUUUUUUUUGAGUACAAGUCUCAGGGUUUCAGAUGUGUUUCUCAGUAGGAUCAACUCAAUGACCUUUCAUCAUUCUAAGUAUGAUAAAACUGUUUUUUCUUUAUUAUUGCACCUUAUUUUUCAGCAGAUGAUUCUCGAAAGAGCUUUGACUACCCUUUGGGGGAAAAAGUGCUAUAUAUACAUAUAAAAUAAUUACAUGCUGUUCUAUCUCUCUGCUACACUUAAAUGAUACUGUAACUGGUAACAGAAAGCAAUGAUAUUUGUAAUCAUGGAGCAGAGGCACACUUACUUCAAAGAAUUUGUAGAACCCUUUGGCAACUCAGCAGGGGACGUGUUCCAAAUUAUGUGUAAGUUUGCUUUGGUAACGCAGUGUCUCUUGGCCAUUCAACGUGUUCAUACACUGCAGAAUGUCACUGAUUAACUAUUCCAUCUGUCUGCUCUUGUCAUAUGCCGUACUGACGUGGACAUUUAAGUUAUUUAAUGUACAAAUUAAUGGAAAGCAACAAAAAGACAGUUUAAUAUGCAUACAGUUUAAAAAAAAAAAAAAGCAUAACCUUUUAGUUUAAACUCUACAGUGCUCUUGUGCUGUAAUAAGACAGUUCUGUUUACUGCAACCUUUGAUCUUUUCUGUCUCUUCCUUUAAUUCUUCCCAUUCUUCCAGUUCUCAUAAUAACUAGUCUUAGUUUUCAUAUUCAGCUUAUAUUGCCCCAUAAACCUAUUUCCUAUUACUUCUACUAUAAAUCCAGGUACUCAGAACUCUGAAUUGUUGGUAAUGGAACUAGCAGAGAUUUUGCAAUAUUACGUAAUGCACGCUCUCACUAAUAUAUAUCAGUCUAUUAAACUGACAGUGCAACUCUUCUUUUUGUAGAUAAAUCAAGAAGGGGAUCUGCGUUCAAUAUAUCACUAUUCUUUAUUCCCCCAGAGCAAUUAUUUUUUUGUGACUUCUCUAAAUGAAAUGCGUCUGAAUAGUUUUCAAGACUCCUGUGGAAUAACUAAGCGUUUCUCAACGGUUUGACAUGGGGCUUAAUAACUCAUAGAGGUUAAAGAAAGUCCAAAGUGCCAUUAACUAGCAAUAGCCUAACUUUUCAGUGAUUUUCUCGCCCUGUUACUUGCAAGCUGUCCUUAAAGGAACACAAACAUGUAUUCCUGACCAGGGCCGGACUGGGGAAAAAAAUUUGGCCUGGGCAUUUUUUAUUCACAGCGGCCCACUGAAAAGAGGGCGGGGCCAGAUAGGGUGUGUUUUGUCAUCCACAAUGACAAGCACGCCCCAUCUCAAAGUAAGCAUGUUGGUUCAAUGCUCUUCCAGGGCAUGAGAAAAGGCCCCUGUAUUUGUUCUGCACAGUGCAAGCAAAUUUAAUAACAUGCUUGCGUUGUGUUUGCUUGAAACUUGACUCACUGUAUCCCAUUUAUGGAGACACUAUGUGUUUGCUUACAUGGAAUCUAGUGUUUGCAUAGGGGAUCCAGAGUGUGUAUGUCAGAAAUGUAGUGGGUGUGUAGGUGGUGCAGCGUCUGUGUGUAGGGGAUCUAGUGUGUGUUUGAAGGACUCAGGAGUGUGUAUAGGAGAUCUAGUGAGUGAGUGAGUGUGUGUAUAGAGGAUUCAGAGUGUAUUUGGCGAUCUAGUGUGUGUAUAUCUGUAGAUGAUCCAGAGUUGGGUAAGGAAUCUAUUGUUUGUCUGGAAUUUAAUGUGUUUAGGGGUGUAGUAUGUGUGUGAGGGGUUCUGUAGUAUAUAUGUAGUGUGUGUGUGGAUGCUGUGUGUGUGUGUGAGGGUGUUGUGUGUGUGGGUGCUGUGUGUGUUAGGAUGCUGUGUGAGGGUGAUGUGUGUGUGUUAGGGUGCUGUGUGUGUUAGGGUGCUAUAUGUGAGGGUGCUGUGCGAGGGUGAUGUGUGUUUGUGUUAUGGUGCUGUGUGAGGGUUCUGUGUGUGUGAGUGAGGGUGCUGUGUGUGUUAGGGUGCUGUGUGUGUAAGGGUGCUGUGUGUGUGGGGGUUCUUUGUGUGUGUGUGUGGAUGCUGUGUAAGGAUGAUGUGUGUGUGUGUGUGUGUGUUAGGGUGCUGUGUGAGGGUGAUGUUUGUGUGUGUGUUAGGGUGCUGUGUUAGGGUGCUGUGUGUUAGGGUGAUGUAUGUUAGGGUGCUGUGUGUGUAAGGGUGAUGUGUGUGUAAGGGUGCGCUGUGUGUGUGUUAGGGUGCUGUGUGUGUGUUAGGGUGCUGUGUGUGUUAGGGUGCUGUGUGUGUGUGUGUGGAUGCUGUGUAAGGAUGAUGUGUGUGUGUGUGUGU
Pelobates cultripes (western spadefoot toad) is the source of this 3428-nucleotide non-coding RNA. Lineage: Eukaryota; Metazoa; Chordata; Amphibia; Anura; Pelobatidae. The record is from the annotation of a GenBank genome assembly.